AUUGAACGCUGGCGGAAUGCUUUACACAUGCAAGUCGAACGGCAGCACGGACUUCGGUCUGGUGGCGAGUGGCGAACGGGUGAGUAAUGUAUCGGAACGUGCCCAGUCGUGGGGGAUAACGUAGUGAAAAUUACGCUAAUACCGCAUACGCGCUAUGGAUGAAAGCGGGGGAUCGCAAGACCUCGCGCGAUUGGAGCGGCCGAUAUCAGAUUAGGUAGUUGGUGGGGUAAAGGCCCACCAAGCCAACGAUCUGUAGCUGGUCUGAGAGGACGACCAGCCACACUGGAACUGAGACACGGUCCAGACUCCUACGGGAGGCAGCAGUGGGGAAUUUUGGACAAUGGGCGAAAGCCUGAUCCAGCCAUUCCGCGUGCAGGAUGAAGGCCCUCGGGUUGUAAACUGCUUUUGUACAGAACGAAAAGGUUUCUACUAAUACUAGGAGCUCAUGACGGUACUGUAAGAAUAAGCACCGGCUAACUACGUGCCAGCCGCCGCUGUAA
This 500-nucleotide ribosomal RNA is filed under the name uncultured bacterium. RNAcentral describes it as "partial 16S ribosomal RNA". It matches the Rfam family "Bacterial small subunit ribosomal RNA", at positions 30 to 523 of the family's 1533-position model. The record is from RNAcentral.